RNAcentral lists this long non-coding RNA (5082 nucleotides) under Canis lupus familiaris (dog). RNAcentral's name for it is "lncRNA (ENSCAFG00845029397.1)". Lineage: Eukaryota; Metazoa; Chordata; Mammalia; Carnivora; Canidae. The record is from RNAcentral.
AUAAAUUCUUUCAAAGAAUCAGCUUUUAGUUUCCUUGAUCAGUUCUAAUGUUUUUUUCCUAUAUUAUUUCUGCUCUAAUCUUUAUUAUUUCCAUCUUGCUGGCUAUAGACUUUAUUUGCUGAUCCUUUUCUAGCUUCUUUAAGUAUAAGGUUAGGUUGUAUAUUUGAGACUUUUCUUGUUUCUUGAAGUAGGCCUGAUUUACAAUAUACUUCCCUUUUAGAAUUGCCUUUGCUGUAUCCCAAAUGUUUUGGACUGUCAUAUUUUCAUUUUCAUUUGCUUCCAUGUAUUUUUUAUAUCUUCUUUGAUUUCCUGGCUAACUCAUUCAUUUGCUAGUAGCAUGUUGUUUAAGCUCCAGGUAUUUGUGGUCUCUCCAAGUUAUUUCUUGUGGUUGACUUCAAGUUUCAUAGUAUGCUGGUCUAAAAACAUGCAUGGUAUGAUCUCAGUCUUUUUGUAUUUGUUGAGGCCUGAUUUGUGACCCAGUAUAUUCUGGAGAAUGUCCCAUGUGCACUUGAAAAGAAUGUGUAUUCUGCUGCUUUAGGAUGAAAUGUUCUGAAUAUAUCUAUUAAGUUCAUCUGGUCUAGUAUGUCUUUCAAAGCCAUUGUUUCCUUACUGAUAUUCUGCUUAGAUGAUUUGCCCAUUUAUGUAAGUGGGGUGUUAAAGUCUCCUACUAUUAUUGUAUUAUUAUCAAAGAGUUUCCUCAAGUUUGUUAUUAAUUGAUUUAUAUAUUUGGCUGCUCCCAAGUUAGGGGCAUAAAUACUUACAAUUGUUAGAUUUUCUUAAGGGAUAGAUCCCGUAAUUAUGAUAUAGUUCCCUUCUUCUUCUCUUGUUACAGUGUUUGGUUUGAAAUCUAGUUUGUCUGAUCUAAGUAUGUCUGAUCCUGUUUUCUUCUGAUACUCAUUAGCAUGAUAGAUGGUUCUCCAUCCCUUCACUUUCAGCCUCCAGGUAUCUUUAGGUCUAAAAUGAAUCUUUUGUGGGUAGUAAAUAGAUAGAUCCUGGGUUUUUUUUAACCCAUUCUGAUACUCUAUGUCUUUUGAUUGGAGCAUUUAGUCCAUUUAAAUUCAGAGUGAUUGUUGAAAGAUAUGAAUUUAAUGCCAUUGUGUUACCGGUAGAGUUGGUGUUUGGUAGUAUUCUCUAUUCCUUUCUAGUCUUUGUUGCUUUUGAUCUUUUUUUCCCCACUCAAAGAGUCCCCCUUAAUAUUUCUUGCAGGGCUGGUUAGAUAGUCAUGAACUCCUUUUGUUUUUGUUUGUCUGGGAAACUCUUUAUCUCUCCUAUUCUGAAUGACAGCUUUGCUGGAUAAAGUAUUCUUGGCUGCAUAUUUUUCCCACUUAGCACAUUGAAUAUACCCUGCCAUUCUCUCCAGGCCUGUCAAGCUUCUGUGGACAGAUCUACUGCAAACCUGCUGUCUUCCUUUGUAGGUUAAGGACUUUUUUCCUCUUGCUGCUUUCAGGGUCUUUCAUUGUCUCUGUAUUUGGAGGAUUUGACUAUGAUAUGCCUUGGAAAUGACCAGCUUUUGUUGAAUUUAAUGGAAGUUCUCUGUGCUUCUUCUAUUAUGAUGUCUGUGUCCUUCUCCAGAUUAAGGAAGUUUUCAGCUAUAAUUGGUUCAAAUAAAAUUUCUGCCCCUUUAUCUCUUCAUCUUCUGUGACUCCUAUGAUAUGAAUGUUACUAUGUCUUAAUAAGUCACUAAGUUCCUUAAGUCUACCUGUGUGGUCUUUUCUUUCCCUCUUCUUUUCAGCUUCAUCAUUUUCCAUAAUUUUAUCUUCUUUGUCACUGAUUCUUCCUCUGCUUCAUCCAUCCUCAUGUUAUGGCAAUAUUCGGGUUUGCAUCAUAAUUAUAGAAUUUUUAAUUUCAGCCUGACUGGAUUUUAGUUCUUUUAUCUCUGUAGUAAAGGAUUCUCUAGUGUCUUCUAUGCUUUAUUCAAGUCCAGCUUGUAUCCUUGUAAUUGUUAUUUUAAAUUCUAGUUCAGACAUCUUACUUAUAUCUGUAUUGAUUAAAUCCCCAGCCUUUAGUUCUACUUAUUGUUUUUUCUUUUGGGGCGAAUUCCUCCAUCUUGUCAUUUCAUCCAGAAAAAAAACAAAAAACAAAAAACUAGAUCCUGGGUGUAUUUUGUUCUGCUGUUAGAAAAAGUUAGAUAAAAUUUUUUUAAAUAAAAAAUAAAAAUAUAUGAAAAAUAUAUGUAAAUAAAAAUUAAAAAAAUAAUUAACAUUUUUUAAAAAAGUAAUUUAAAAAUAAUAAAAAUAAAAAAUAAAAAGGAAUCUGGAUUUUAUUUCUCCUAUAUCUGAAGCUCUGCAGCACUCUAUGAUCAGUAGACUCGGUGUGUGCAAGGUAUUUAUACUGGUCUUCUGGGGUAGGGGGCCUGUGGCACUGAUUCUCAGUACUGGCGAUAAGGGAGAUGUUCCUACAAUGUGCAGAUGGGCGGGGCUUGGUGUAAGCGGCUCUGGCCACCACUAGGUGGCCCUGUUUUGCACCCUGAAGGCUUACAAAAUGAUGGGCUGGGUGAAAAUGGUGGCAUCCUGCUUUCUAACCCAGAGUUGAGAGUUCAUGCCCUCUACUCUUCAGGAAGCCCUCACCAAAGAGCAAACCAUCACCCCUCUUAUGCCCCUGGCUUCGUCAGAUCCAUGCCUUCACCUUGCUUGUGUCCAAACUGUUUUAUUUCAGAUGCAUGGCUGGGUUUCAAAACUCCAAAUUUUAGGGACCCCUGCAAUGCAGAUCUGUGCUGAUCCUCUGGGGGCAGGGUCUAGCUGCACUUUUGCUGUUUACCACCUGUGCCAGGAAAGCAGUCCCAUGAUCACACAGCAGUUCAGAGUUUAUGACAAGGCAGACAGCGGGUAUCCAGGCUUGCUGCCCUCACCUAGAGUCCCUGCUCCUAUGCUUGGGAACAGUGCAGCAUGUGGGCAGCACCCAUUCUUCCUGCAACCCAGGGAAUCCUCUGAUCAUGCUGUCUGCUCCCAGGUCUCUGCCCUCCUUCCCCACUGAAGCACCUUUAAGCCAGGCAUGACCCUGGUGGUGGCAGACUUCUAAGACUUCAGAUUUUGCACUUCCCCACUUAUAAUACCUUGUGGUAGUCUCCAUAAGCAGAGCUCCCUCUCCUCCAAAGCACCUAUAGUUCUUAUCUUCCCCCAAACAACUCCACACAUCGUACUUCCAGAAGGUGGUCACUUUUCAACUUGUAGACUUGCAGUUUUGUUCUCUUAGUCCUCAGAUUGAUUUCUUGGGUGGUUCAGCAUGAUUUUGAUAAUUAUCUAGCUGUGUUUGAGGGACAAGGCAAGCUUAGGGCCCCCCUACUCCUCUGCCAUCUUAAUUGCUUCGAAGUGAUAUCUCAUUGUAGUUUUAAUUUGUAUCACCAUGAUGGUUAGUAAUAUAGAGCAUUUUUCCAUGUUCUUUUGGCCAUUUGUAUAUCUUCAUUGGCAAAAUAUCUAUUUAGAUUAUUCACUCAUUUUUAGAUUGAGUUACUUGUCUCUUAUUAUUAAGUUGGAAGAGCUUUCUUUAAAUAUAUCUUAAAUAAGUUUUUUUAAUUAGAUAUAUGAUUUACAAAAUUUUUCUCCUUUCCUGCUGGUUGCCUUUUCAUUUUCUUAAUGGUGCCCUUUAAAGCACAAAUGAUUUUAAUUUUGAUGAUGUCUAAUUGAUCUAUGUUUUUCCUUUGUUGCUUGUUUUUGAUAUUAUACCUUGCCUAAACCAAGAUCUCAAAUAUUAAUACCUGCUUUCUUCUAAGAAUGUUGUAGUUUCAGCUCUUACAGUUAAGUCUUUGAUCCAUUUUGAGUUACUUUUUUAUAUAUGAUGUACAGCAGAGAUCUAACUUCAUUAUUUUGCAUGUAGAUAUCCAGUUGUCUCAGCAUGAUUUGUUGAAAAGGCUAUUGCUUUCCCUACUGAGUUGUCUUGACACCCUUGUAAAAAAUCAUUUUACUGUAAAUGUAAGCGUUUCUUAACUCUAAAUUCUAUUCCAUUGAUGUAUCAGUCUAUUCUUAUGCCAGUACUAUGCUUUGUUGGUUAUUGUUGCUGUAUGGUUAAAUUUGAAAUUGGGUAAUGUGAGUUAUCCAACUUUGCUCUUCCUUUUCAAGAUUGUUUUGACUAUUUUGGGUCCUUCUCAUUUCCCCAUGAAUUUUAGAAUGAGUUUCUUAAAUUCUGCAAAGAAGUUGGCUGGGAUUUUGAUAGGGAUUGUACUCAAUCUGUGGAUCAAUUUGGGCUGUAUUGUCAUCUUAACAAUAUUGAGUCUUCUAAUUCAUGAGCAUGAAAUGUCUUUCCAUUUACUUAGAUCUUUAAUUUGGUAGUCCUCAGAGUAGAUGUUUUGUACUCUUUUGUUAAAUAUUUUGUACUUCUCAGAGUAUAUGUUUUGUCUCUUUUGUUAAAUUUAUUACUAAUUAUUUUAUUCUUUUUGAUGUUAUUAUAAAUUUAACUGUUUUCUUUUGAAGCUUGGUGUUUAACUGAAAGCUUAAUAAAAGGCUAUUUCUUUGAACAUCAGGUUGAAACUUUAUAGGUCAAAAAUUACUACAAACAAAAGAAUAAUCUCAGUUCUAGCUUACCCAUUAUAAAGGGAUGCUUAGGCAGAGCAAUGUGCUGUCACAUUUAAGACAUGGCACACUAUCUCACUUGUUAAGAGUAGCCCUAUCAAUUACUCUGUUUGCAAGGAAGCUUCUCUUAAUAGUUUUUUUUUAAAGUAAACUCUACCCCAAAUGUGGGGCUCGAACUCAUGACCCUGAGAUCAAGAGUCACAUGCUCUACCAACUGAGCCAGCCAAGCACCCCAAGGCAACUUCUCUUCAGACUUAGGGAGUAUAUGAGGUUUGUAUUUAGCUCCUUAAGUCCUCUUUAUUUUUUUUAAAGAUUUUAUGUAUUCAUGAGAGACACUGAGAGAGAGAGAGAGAGAGAGAGAGAGAGAAAGGCAGAGACACAGGCAGAGGGAGAAGCAGGCUCCACACAGGGAGCCCACUGGGGGACUCAAUCCCAGGACCCUGGGAUCACACCCUGAGCCAAAGGCAGAUGCUCAACCACUGAGCCACCCAGGCAUCCCUGAAGGAGACUUUUUUUUUUUUGAGUUUGAUUUGCCAACAUAUAGUAUAACACCCAGUGCUCAUCCCAUCAAGUGCUC